This 564-nucleotide long non-coding RNA is filed under the name Rattus norvegicus (Norway rat). Its description in RNAcentral is "long non-coding RNA NONRATT016738". The record is from RNAcentral. Lineage: Eukaryota; Metazoa; Chordata; Mammalia; Rodentia; Muridae.
UGUUAGGAAAUACACUCAGAACAUCUGAGGAUGCAGGAGUCACUUGGAGGUUUGUGGGGGGGGGGGGGAAGAGAGGUUGUUGUAUGAUGAUGUCUUAGGAAUUAAAGCCAAGUGCUCUCAAGGUAGGUGUGCUAUAAGGUAAGGUUUAGUCCUCUCCCUCCAGGCUGCCCAUUGUUUCCUGGAAGUCCUCAUAAGCAGGGUGAAGAGCAGCUUGACCUGUCUGUGCCUGUUGGAUGUGAAGUGAUCUUGUAGCAACUGUAACUGUUUUCAGAGAGGAGCUGAUCUUCAGGUGGCCAAGUGCCCUUGAAGUAUAUCACGUGGUGACUAGAGAUGGCCUCUUCACCCGAGUGACUUACACUCCCUGCUGCCCCCUCUUCUCUUGCCCAUUAGAGGGUGUCAGGCUGAGCAGCCCUGGGGUAAGUGUCUCUAAAGAGAAAUACAAGUCAAGUUGCUCAGUGUGGCUGCUUCCUGGUAUCCUUUCUAUUUUCUCACGUAAGAAUGUAUAUUUUAUGGAGCAUGUGUUUGUCCUGUCUACUGUAAUGUCAAUAAAGCUAAGACAUUGUG